RNAcentral lists this ribosomal RNA (288 nucleotides) under uncultured bacterium. RNAcentral describes it as "partial 16S ribosomal RNA". It matches the Rfam family "Bacterial small subunit ribosomal RNA", at positions 773 to 1060 of the family's 1533-position model. The record is from RNAcentral.
GUGGAUUAGAUACCCUGGUAGUCCACGCCGUAAACGAUGUCGACUUGGAGGUUGUGCCCUUGAGGCGUGGCUUCCGGAGCUAACGCGUUAAGUCGACCGCCUGGGGAGUACGGCCGCAAGGUUAAAACUCAAAUGAAUUGACGGGGGCCCGCACAAGCGGUGGAGCAUGUGGUUUAAUUCGAUGCAACGCGAAGAACCUUACCUACUCUUGACAUCCAGAGAACUUUCCAGAGAUGGAUUGGUGCCUUCGGGAACUCUGAGACAGGUGCUGCACGGCCGUCGUCAGCU